AGUGAACGCUGGCGGUAGGCCUAACACAUGCAAGUCGAACGGCAGCACAGUAAGAGCUUGCUCUUACGGGUGGCGAGUGGCGGACGGGUGAGGAAUACAUCGGAAUCUACUUUUUCGUGGGGGAUAACGUAGGGAAACUUACGCUAAUACCGCAUACGACCUACGGGUGAAAGCAGGGGAUCUUCGGACCUUGCGCGAUUGAAUGAGCCGAUGUCGGAUUAGCUAGUUGGCGGGGUAAAGGCCCACCAAGGCGACGAUCCGUAGCUGGUCUGAGAGGAUGAUCAGCCACACUGGAACGGGGACACGGUCCAGACUCCUACGGGAGGCAGCAGUGGGGAAUAUUGGACAAUGGUCGGAAGCCUGAUCCAGCCAUACCGCGUGGGUGAAGAAGGCCUUCGGGUUGUAAAGCCCUUUUGUUGGGAAAGAAAAGCAGCAGGUUAAUACCCCGCUGUUCUGACGGUACCCAAAGAAUAAGCACCGGCUAACUUCGUG
This 492-nucleotide ribosomal RNA is filed under the name uncultured bacterium. RNAcentral describes it as "partial 16S ribosomal RNA". It matches the Rfam family "Bacterial small subunit ribosomal RNA", at positions 29 to 507 of the family's 1533-position model. The record is from RNAcentral.